Prunus avium (sweet cherry) is the source of this 268-nucleotide non-coding RNA. Lineage: Eukaryota; Viridiplantae; Streptophyta; Magnoliopsida; Rosales; Rosaceae. The record is from RefSeq and is a predicted model, not a curated record.
CUCCUCUAUCUUUUCCAGAGAUUAAAAGUUGCAGUCUUUCAUUAAUGAUGGGCUCAACUCUGUGAUUGAUAUCUCUACUGAAAAUGGAGACAUCUUCCUUGAAGGAUUACUAGUAAAUGGCUGGCCUUCAAAAUUGGUUUUUGGCCAGUCGUCACGUAGAAAAAUCAGUAGCCACAUGGACCUUUAAUUUGAUGCUAUAUUCACCCAAAGAAGAUUUGAGGGCGUCUGCAUGUGACUCUGGGGUGCUAUUCUCUCAUUUGAAAAUAAG